GGAGAUGUGGUCUAGCGGUUGGGCACAGGCACCUCGAAUGUCCUGGACGUAGGUUCGAUUCCUACUGUCUCCA
This 73-nucleotide transfer RNA is filed under the name Pseudocercospora fijiensis CIRAD86. RNAcentral's name for it is "tRNA-Arg (TCG) (tRNA-Arg-TCG-1-1)". It matches the Rfam family "tRNA". From Rfam's summary of the family: Transfer RNA (tRNA) molecules are approximately 80 nucleotides in length. Their secondary structure includes four short double-helical elements and three loops (D, anti-codon, and T loops). Further hydrogen bonds mediate the characteristic L-shaped molecular structure. tRNAs have two regions of fundamental functional importance: the anti-codon, which is responsible for specific mRNA codon recognition, and the 3' end, to which the tRNAs corresponding amino acid is attached (by aminoacyl-tRNA synthetases). tRNAs cope with the degeneracy of the genetic code in two manners: having more than one tRNA (with a specific anti-codon) for a particular amino acid; and 'wobble' base-pairing, i.e. permitting non-standard base-pairing at the 3rd anti-codon position. The record is from RNAcentral. Lineage: Eukaryota; Fungi; Ascomycota; Dothideomycetes; Mycosphaerellales; Mycosphaerellaceae.